GCUUACGGCCACACCGCCUGGUUCACGCUUGAUCUCGGAAGCUAAGAUAGGUUGGGCCUGGUUAGUACUUGGAUGGGAGACCGCCUGGGAAUACCAGGUGCUGUAGGCU
Molecule: ribosomal RNA, 109 nt
Organism: Scophthalmus maximus (turbot)
Lineage: Eukaryota; Metazoa; Chordata; Actinopteri; Pleuronectiformes; Scophthalmidae
Source: Ensembl